RNAcentral lists this signal recognition particle RNA (216 nucleotides) under Chloroflexota bacterium. RNAcentral describes it as "Chloroflexi bacterium signal recognition particle sRNA large type". The stretch from base 82 to 181 matches the Rfam family "Bacterial small signal recognition particle RNA". Lineage: Bacteria; Bacillati; Chloroflexota. The record is from RNAcentral.
GAAUUCAGGGCGCAGGUUCCGGGCCAAUUCGGGCUUAUGAAUUUGCCCCCUGACUCAAGGUGACGGCUACCGGGUAGUGCGUGUUGGGUCCUGCGCGGCAGGAGCCUACGAACCAGGUCAGGUCCGGAAGGAAGCAGCCUUAAGUGGUCACUUCUGGGUGCCGCAGGGUUGCCUGGCACAAGCUAUCCGGUUGCCGUCGCCUUGAGCAAUGUAUUU